Molecule: ribosomal RNA, 496 nt
Filed under: uncultured bacterium
Lineage: Bacteria
Description: partial 16S ribosomal RNA
Rfam family: Bacterial small subunit ribosomal RNA
Source: RNAcentral
GAUGAACGCUGGCGGCGUGCCUAAUACAUGCAAGUCGAGCGAACAGACGAGGAGCUUGCUCCUCUGACGUUAGCGGCGGACGGGUGAGUAACACGUGGAUAACCUACCUAUAAGACUGGGAUAACUUCGGGAAACCGGAGCUAAUACCGGAUAAUAUAUUGAACCGCAUGGUUCAAUAGUGAAAGACGGUUUUGCUGUCACUUAUAGAUGGAUCCGCGCCGCAUUAGCUAGUUGGUAAGGUAACGGCUUACCAAGGCAACGAUGCGUAGCCGACCUGAGAGGGUGAUCGGCCACACUGGAACUGAGACACGGUCCAGACUCCUACGGGAGGCAGCAGUAGGGAAUCUGCCGCAAUGGGCGAAAGCCUGACGGAGCAACGCCGCGUGAAUGAUGAAGGUCUUCGGAUCGUAAAACUCUGUUAUUAGGGAAGAACAAAUGUGUAAGUAACUAUGCACGUCUUGACGGUACCUAAUCAGAAAGCCACGGCUAACUACGU